UCUCCAAAACUCCUAAAAAUGAAAAAUCUGGAAAAAAAAAUAAGAAGCAAAAGAAUCGGUGAAACAGGCAGAAUUCUAAGUCUUGAUAUUGAAAAUUCAUACGAAGAUGAUUCAGAUGAAUAGAAAGAAGAAGAGGAUAGAAAGAAGAAGAGGUGUUUGUAUAUGUAUUUAUCACGAAUGUGUAUUUUACAGAUGCAUUUAGCUAAUAGGUACUCAUUUGUAUAUAUAUACAAAUCUUGUUGUAUAUAUAUACAUGUUGGA
RNAcentral lists this long non-coding RNA (261 nucleotides) under Capsicum annuum. RNAcentral's name for it is "long non-coding RNA (CANN_LNC005285)". Lineage: Eukaryota; Viridiplantae; Streptophyta; Magnoliopsida; Solanales; Solanaceae. The record is from RNAcentral.